RNAcentral lists this ribosomal RNA (468 nucleotides) under uncultured bacterium. Its description in RNAcentral is "partial 16S ribosomal RNA". It matches the Rfam family "Bacterial small subunit ribosomal RNA", at positions 28 to 507 of the family's 1533-position model. The record is from RNAcentral.
GACGAACGCUGGCGGCGUGCUUAACACAUGCAAGUCGAACGGAAAGGCCCUGCUUUUGUGGGGUGCUCGAGUGGCGAACGGGUGAGUAACACGUGAGUAACCUGCCCUUGACUUUGGGAUAACUUCAGGAAACUGGGGCUAAUACCGGAUAGGAGCUCCUGCUGCAUGGUGGGGGUUGGAAAGUUUCGGCGGUUGGGGAUGGACUCGCGGCUUAUCAGCUUGUUGGUGGGGUAGUGGCUUACCAAGGCUUUGACGGGUAGCCGGCCUGAGAGGGUGACCGGCCACAUUGGGACUGAGAUACGGCCCAGACUCCGACGGGAGGCAGCAGUGGGGAAUAUUGCACAAUGGGCGGAAGCCUUAUGCAGCAACGCCGCGUGCGGGAUGACGGCCUUCGGGUUGGAAACCGCUUUCGCCUGUGACGAAGCGUGAGUGACGGUAAUGGGUAAAGAAGCACCGGCUAACUACGUG